This is a long non-coding RNA of Priapulus caudatus, 1530 nucleotides long. RefSeq lists it as uncharacterized. The transcript has 3 exons. The record is from RefSeq and is a predicted model, not a curated record. Lineage: Eukaryota; Metazoa; Priapulida; Priapulimorpha; Priapulimorphida; Priapulidae.
GAGAGAGAGAGAGAGAGAGAGAGAGAGAGAGAGAUUUAGAGAACGUAAUGAAAUGAAAGAAACGAGAGAAGCGAAGAGCGAAACUAUGAAGCUAGAGGAAUACAUAGGGAGUAUGAUAGAGAGUGGGCGAAAGAGACAGAGAAAAUGAGAGUGAGGAAGACAGACAGAGAGGGGGUGGGCAAGAAGAACGAUCAGCGAUAGAGCAUUGGCAAUAUUUAUAUCAAAUGAGAUUGAAAGACAUCCGGGAACGCACAGAUUGUGCAUUCUUAUAUUGGAUGAGGAAAAGGUUACCUGGACCGAAUGUAAAGUGUAAGGAGAUAGAGACAGAAAUGGGUUCGUGGCAUGUAAAGUUACUGCAACGGCAGUGGCAUUGUUACGGGCUAGCACGGCCGCGUAUAGGUGGCGCGUCCGUCUAACCACACAGCGCAGCGUCCACUGACGUCGCUGUAAAAAGCGCGGGAAGCACCGUGUUAUACUCUGAGAGGCAUGUACUGUGAGGCGUCUGCAUAAAUCGCGAGAAGCACUGUAUAUACUGAUGUGGCAGGCGUUCACUGGGAGAGUUCUGCAUAAAUUGUGUGAGGCACUGUGUUCUGAUGUGGCAGGCGUUCACUGUGAGAGUUCUGCAUAAAUUGUGUGAGGCACUGUGUUCUGAUGUGGCAGGCGUUCACUGUGAGAGUUCUGCAUAAAUUGUGUGAGGCACUGUGUUCUGACGUGGCAGGCGUUCACUGUGAGAGUUCUGCAUAAAUUGUGUGAGGCACUGUGUUCUGAUGUGGGAGGCGUUCACUGUGAGAGUUCUUCUAAUAUCUUCUCAAAGCAUUUCCACGUGCGCGAUCCGAUCCGUACGGCUUGCAAUUCUCCUUAUUUAGCAGCAUUCUAAGUCAGUAUAUAUAGCGAGCUGCACACACGUACCAACAGAGCUGAUGGCACUCUCACCCAAAGAACCAGCGACCCCCCUCAAUACCACCGACAUACGCCACUACGAGCUGAUAAAACGCUCACCUUAAGCUUCAACCACCCCUCACACAAAGCGCCAGCGACCCCUCACCCAAAGCGCCAGCGACUCCUCACCCAAAGCGCCAGCGACCCCUCACCCAAAGCGCCAGCGACCCCUCACCCAAAGCGCCAGCGACCCCUCACCCAAAGCGCCAGCGACCCCUCGCCCAAAGCGCCCGCGACCCCCUAUAAACCCACGUCCCCGCGAGCGUUUCCCCCACAGCCUCUGCGCAUGCAAUCUGCGUUGGUGGUCGGAGCUGCGUGAUUACUCAGCUCGUACUCAGCUCGACGCACGGAAAGCGCAAUUCAAUGGCAGGCGAUAUCCUCGCUGCGCUACUACUCUCGGCUUCCCUCGCGAGUAAAUCCUCGGCUGCUGUUCGUACCAGAUUGUUACGGAGCAGGCAUUGCUCCGUAUGAUUGACAGAGUUUCAUUGUGGCGGGGCCCGCGGCCGGUUGGCGUGAAUGCACGGCGGCACUGCGCCGACAGAGAGAGAGGGGGGGAGGAAGAGAGAGAGAGAGAGAGAGAGAGAGAGAGAG